CGGGAAUAGCUCAAAUUUAAAAUCUGGCCUAACAGCCCGAAUUGUAAACUAAAGAGGCGUUAUCGGACACGCAUCAUCUGUACAAGUUCCCUGGAAUGGGACAUCACAGAGGGUGAGAAUCCCGUCUGGACGGCGGAUGCGUGGCCAUACGAGGCGUUCUCAAA
This 164-nucleotide ribosomal RNA is filed under the name Glomerales sp. Its description in RNAcentral is "partial large subunit ribosomal RNA". It matches the Rfam family "Eukaryotic large subunit ribosomal RNA", at positions 99 to 263 of the family's 3401-position model. Lineage: Eukaryota; Fungi; Glomeromycota; Glomeromycetes; Glomerales; Glomeraceae. The record is from RNAcentral.